AUACGGAAGGUGCAAGCGUUAAGUCGGAAUCACUUGGGCGUAAAGCGCUCGUAGGUGGCUUUGUAAGUCAGGUGUGAAAGCCCACGGCUCAACCGUGGAAUUGCACUUGAUACUGCAUUGCUUGAGUUCGGGAGAGGGUAGUGGAAUUCCAGGUGUAGGAGUGAAAUCCGUAGAGAUCUGGAGGAACACCAGCGGCGAAGGCGACUACCUGGACCGAUACUGACACUGAGGAGCGAAAGCGUGGGGAGC
This 249-nucleotide ribosomal RNA is filed under the name uncultured bacterium. RNAcentral's name for it is "partial 16S ribosomal RNA". It matches the Rfam family "Bacterial small subunit ribosomal RNA", at positions 523 to 769 of the family's 1533-position model. The record is from RNAcentral.